UUCUGUAUGAGUGGCUGCCCAGCUUCCUGCAGAAAACACCCCCCAAGUAUGCAGGACACAGCCCUUUCCUGGACCCCAGCAUCUCCCCAGAGUUCCUGGCCGCUUCUGAGCAAUUCUUCUCUACCAGGUGCCUCCUGGCGGCUACAUGAGCAUCCAAAUCUACGAAGAGCUGAAGAUGUGGACGCGCUGCUGCUGGGCAUGGCCUCCCAGAUCGCUGAGCGAGAGGACCAUGUCGUGGUGGAGGAUGUGCUAGGUGACGCUGAGGCUGUCCCUGCAGGCUGGGUACUGCUGUCACCUGGGUGGGGAUUCUGCUGGAGCUCCAGUGUCAGGCCAGGAGGAGUGACCGGGGCUGGGAGCCUGCACUCUCUCACUGCUCAGACACCUGUUGACCAUGGUUCCCUCUGUGUGAUUCUGGCCCCCCUGGGGCUGGUUGGAGACUGGGUCCUGGGCUAGUGGAGCUGUGGUGGCCCUGUGCUCCCUCAGAUUCUCUGCUAUUUCAUCCCCAGGUUUCUGGCCAGGACCCCUGAAGUUUUCCCGUACAGACCACCCGGCUGGCUGCAUGCAGAGGGGCUGGGAUCUGGGCCUGCCCUCUUAUACCAAGGCCAGGGAAGCACUGGGUCUGCCUCCCAUUACCAGAUGGCAGGACAUCAACCCUGCACUCUCCCAGAGCAACCACACCGUAAGGAGGGGUUGGGACGCAGAGGGCGGGGUGGGAGGGCCAAGGCACAUUGGCCCAAGACAUGGAAGGAAGACAGUGAGGCACAAACACUAGAGACAAGUCCCUGGUGAGAGGGAUGGGACUCGCCCACGUGGUUUUUCCCAAUAUCAUCUACGAGGAUGGAAGUUACCAGACCAGCAGGAUUUGGCAGUAGACCUUGUGACUCUGCAGAUCCAGCAAAUGUUUGCUGAGCAUGUCUUGCACGCCAGGCACUUAAUAAGCAUUACCUCGUUUACUCUUCCCAACAGCCAUCUGAGCAGGUGUGGAAGGUCCUCAACCCAGGAACAAGCUGUACUUUUUUAUACACUGACACUCGGGCUGCCUUUGGGGAGUCAACUGUUACUCCCUGAGCUGUCGCCUGGGCCACGUGGCAUUGCCUGCCAGCCAACAGAGCAGUUUUGGUGGCCUUACCAUCUUGGCAUAGUGGCGUUUCUACAAUUGCACGCUGGUUUUACUGCUUUCGUCCUUACUGUUUAGAAGAUUGUUGGAAAGUGGAGAAGUGAAAGGCCGAUGAAGAAGCAAUAUGCACGUGGGGCGUAUAAACUUUAUACAGUCAAUAGAAAGGUAGGAAUCACCAGGCGAACCAAAAGUAGCAAGUCUUUAGCUCCCCUGGGCCUCGCUGGAAUUUAAGCUGAGCAAAUGUUUGUUUACAUUGCAGAGAAAAGAACUAAAGUCAAGGUCAGGUAGAAAAUGCUGCUCAUAGAAGGUUGAAGUCUGUCUCCAAAAGGCAAUGUGUAUGCAGGGAUUUGAUUUAUACAAACUUUUUUAGCUCUCAAGAAUAGAAACCUUUUCGGGGCACCUGGGUGGCUCAGUCGUUGAGUGUCUGCCUUCGGCUCAGGGCGUGAUCCCAGAGUCCUGGGAUCGAGCCCCACAUCAGGCUCCUCCGCUGGGAGCCUGCUUCUUCCUCUCCCACUCCCCCUGCUUGUGUUCCCUCUCUCGCUGGCUGUCUCUCUCUCUGUCAAAUGAAUAAAUAAAAUCUUUAAA
This 1702-nucleotide long non-coding RNA is filed under the name Ursus americanus (American black bear). Its description in RNAcentral is "lncRNA (ENSUAMG00000003026.1)". The record is from RNAcentral. Lineage: Eukaryota; Metazoa; Chordata; Mammalia; Carnivora; Ursidae.